CCUACGGGUGGCAGCAGUGAGGAAUAUUGGUCAAUGGCCGGAAGGCUGAACCAGCCAUGCCGCGUGAAGGUCAGUGCCCUAUGGGCGUUAAACUUCUUUUGUGCGGGAGCAAUAAUGGUCACGUGUGGCCAGACGAGAGUACCGUACGAAUAAGCAUCGGCUAACUCCGUUGCAGCAGCCGCGGUAAUACGGGGGAUGCAAGCGGUAUCCGGAUUUAUUGGGUUUAAAGGGUGCGGAGGCUGUGAGGUAAGUCAGCGGUGAAAUGCUCCCGCUCAACGGGGUGAAGUGCCAUUGAUACUGGCUGGCUGGAAUGCGGAUGCCGUGGGAGGAAUGUGUGGUGUAGCGGUGAAAUGCAUAGAUAUCACACAGAACACCGAUUGCGAAGGCAUCUCACGAAUCCGCGAUUGACGCUGAUGCACGAAAGCGUGGGUAUCAAACAGGAUUAGAUACCCGUGUAGUC
Molecule: ribosomal RNA, 460 nt
Filed under: uncultured bacterium
Lineage: Bacteria
Description: partial 16S ribosomal RNA
Rfam family: Bacterial small subunit ribosomal RNA
Source: RNAcentral